Lycium ferocissimum is the source of this 918-nucleotide RNA transcript. RefSeq lists it as uncharacterized. The transcript has 3 exons. The record is from RefSeq and is a predicted model, not a curated record. NCBI's taxonomy places the organism in Eukaryota, Viridiplantae, Streptophyta, Magnoliopsida, Solanales, Solanaceae.
CUUAACGCAACUAAACAUACUGCGGUUGAGAUGAAGGGAGUUCACAACAAUGACGACGACGACGACGAUGAUGAUAAAGGAACCUGUUUCAAUAUGGAUCCACUUCUUGGAUUCUUCAUAAUUGAUUCAAUGAAUCGCCAAGAUUAUUGUUUCGCUUUGCAGGUGAAGAAGAAACACCCUUUUCAGAUUGCUCAUCAUUUUCCCUUUCUUCUUCUCAGUACCUGAAGCAACAGCCAUAGGCUGUUCAACAUGAAUCGCUUGCUAAUAUAUAUACCCGCACUAAUACAACAACUAAUAUAGCCUGCUAGGGGUGUGCAUCAUUCGGAUUAAAUCAAGAAACCAAAUCGAACCAAACCGAAUUUUAAUUUGGAUUGAGAAAUUAAAAAUUUUGUUUUUUGGUUCGGAAUCGAAUUUUAGCAUAAGGUUUAUUGGCCUAUUUGUAUUAGAGAAAAACCAAACCAAUCCAAAUCGGGAAAAAAACCGAAUUGAAAAGAGAAAUACCAAACCAAACCAAACUUAUUUUGGUUCGGAUUGGAUUGUACAAAUCGAAAACCGAAAUCGAACAAUGUUAAACUGAAUACACACCCUGCUGAUAGUAAAUCUCUGAUUUUCAAGAAACCAAAUGUGAUAGACUCGGGGAAUCAAUGGGGUGAUCCAAAACCAGAGAAGCAUAUAGUAACCUAUUCCACGUAUCAGGCAGUCCAGGCAGGCACCAAUGGCUGCAAUCAGCAUAACUCUCUGGUGGCUUUAAUUUUCUGUUCAUCAGUUCUUGUCCUUUCAUUUUGUUGUAUACUGAUGGAUGUGCAUCUAAACGGUGCUCUGAGAGCUUGGUAAUGUUUAAGUAUCUUACAGGGACUCUCAUUUUUGACAAUGUUUUAUCAACAAUUUCUGUCAGGGACUCAGAAAAAUGUGAUACAC